Mytilus trossulus (common blue mussel) is the source of this 80-nucleotide small nucleolar RNA. Lineage: Eukaryota; Metazoa; Mollusca; Bivalvia; Mytilida; Mytilidae. The record is from RefSeq and is a predicted model, not a curated record.
UGGCAAUGAUGUAAAAAAAGAAUUUCUUCACCUGACACUUUAAUGAAGAUAAAAAAACGAGCUUUUUAAAACUGAGCCAG